This 437-nucleotide ribosomal RNA is filed under the name uncultured bacterium. RNAcentral's name for it is "partial 16S ribosomal RNA". It matches the Rfam family "Bacterial small subunit ribosomal RNA", at positions 29 to 507 of the family's 1533-position model. The record is from RNAcentral.
AGCGAACGCUGGCGGCAGGCUUAACACAUGCAAGUCGAGCGGGCAUCCUUGUGGUGUCAGCGGCAGACGGGUGAGUAACGCGUGGGAACGUGCCCUUCGGUUCGGAAUAACUCAGGGAAACUUGAGCUAAUACCGGAUACGUGCGAGAGCAGAAAGGUUUAUCUGCCGAAGGAUCGGCCCGCGUCUUAUUAGCUAGUUGGUGAGGUUAUGGCUCACCAAGGCGACGAUCAGUAGCUGGUCUGAGAGGAUGAUCAGCCACACUGGGACUGAGACACGGCCCAGACUCCUACGGGAGGCAGCAGUGGGGAAUAUUGGACAAUGGGGGCAACCCUGAUCCAGCCAUGCCGCGUGAGUGAUGACGGCCUUAGGGUUGUAAAGCUCUUUUCUUCGGGACGAUAAUGACGGUACCGGAGGAAUAAGCCCCGGCUAACUUCGUG